CUCCCCUCCUUAUAUAAAAUUCGUCCUCGAAUUUAAAAGAGUAAAUUACCUGAUUACUCAAAGAGGUGAGGGUAUUUGCUCUUUAUAUUCUGCUAGGUGUGGUAUUGGGAAUCAAAUAAAUUGGAAGUGUUUUACCUUCUAUCUCUACCACAUAGGUAGGAUAUACAUACUUCGCUUCUAUACUAUCCCCUACAGAUGUACUAAUAGCUAAGGGGAUAUGCAUUAAUAUCUUAUCCUUGCUAACUUUUUAGCAAAAUAAGGGGAUACAAAUGAAUGGGUAGCUCCAGAAUCAAAUAACACUCUAACUUUAAUCUUAUCAAUGAGGAGCAUACCUGUCACAGCUGCAUUUGAUGCCUAUGCCUCCUGUGGAUUUACCGUGGACACCCUUCCUUGCCCUCUGCCUACUAGAGCUGACAGUUGAGAUGGUCCAGCACUCUGCUGUGAUGCUGGUGUCUGACCUUUGCCUCUGCC
This 471-nucleotide long non-coding RNA is filed under the name Phoenix dactylifera (date palm). RNAcentral's name for it is "long non-coding RNA (PDAC_LNC014325)". The record is from RNAcentral. Lineage: Eukaryota; Viridiplantae; Streptophyta; Magnoliopsida; Arecales; Arecaceae.